RNAcentral lists this ribosomal RNA (396 nucleotides) under uncultured bacterium. Its description in RNAcentral is "bacterial SSU rRNA". It matches the Rfam family "Bacterial small subunit ribosomal RNA", at positions 29 to 427 of the family's 1533-position model. The record is from RNAcentral.
AUUGAACGCUGGCGGCAUGCUUUACACAUGCAAGUCGAACGGUAACAGGGAGCUUGCUCCGCUGACGAGUGGCGAACGGGUGAGUAAUGCAUCGGAACGUACCCAGUCGUGGGGGGAUAACGUAGCGAAAGUUACGCUAAUACCGCAUACGUCCUGAGGGAGAAAGCGGGGGACCGUAAGGCCUCGCGCGAUUGGAGCGGCCGAUGUCGGAUUAGCUAGUUGGUAGGGUAAAGGCCUACCAAGGCGACGAUCCGUAGCGGGUCUGAGAGGAUGAUCCGCCACACUGGGACUGAGACACGGCCCAGACUCCUACGGAGGCAGCAGUGGGGAAUUUUGGGACAAUGGGCGAAAGCCUGAUCCAGCCAUGCCGCGUGAGUGAAGAAGGCCUCGGUUGGU